GAUGAAGAACGGCAGCGAAAUGCGAUAAGUAAUGUGAAUUGCAGAAUUCAGUGAAUCAUCGAAUCUUUGAACGCACAUUGCGCCCCCUGGUAUUCCGGGGGGCAUGCCUGUUCGAGCGUCAUUUCAACCCUCAAGCUCUGCUUGGUAUUGGGCGUCGCCGGGGAGUCUCCCCGGCGUGCCUCAAAGCCAUCGGCGGUGGUGCCUUUCUCUAAGCGUGGUAGAAUUUUUAUUCGCUUCUGAGUUGGGCUUCACCUGCCGGACAAACCGGGCCCUCGCGGCCCACCUCAGGUUGACCUCGGAUCAGGUAGGGAUACCCGCUGAACUUAAGCAUAUCAAUAAGCGGAGGA
RNAcentral lists this unclassified non-coding RNA (347 nucleotides) under soil metagenome. Its description in RNAcentral is "partial contains 5.8S ribosomal RNA, internal transcribed spacer 2, and large subunit ribosomal RNA". The stretch from base 1 to 121 matches the Rfam family "5.8S ribosomal RNA", at positions 35 to 154 of the family's 154-position model. The record is from RNAcentral.